Molecule: ribosomal RNA, 494 nt
Filed under: uncultured bacterium
Lineage: Bacteria
Description: partial 16S ribosomal RNA
Rfam family: Bacterial small subunit ribosomal RNA
Source: RNAcentral
ACUCAAAUGAAUAGACGGGGGCCCGCACAAGCGGUGGAGCAUGUGGUUUAAUUCGACGCAACGCGAAGAACCUUACCGGGGCUUGACAUCCUGUGAUCAUCUAGGAGACUAGGUUUCCGGGCAACCGGACACAGAGACAGGUGCUGCAUGGCUGUCGUCAGCUCGUGCCGUGAGGUGUUGGGUUAAGUCCCGCAACGAGCGCAACCCUUGUCGUGUGUUGGUCCACAAGAUCUCUCACACGAGACCGCCGGUGACAAGCCGGAGGAAGGUGGGGAUGACGUCAAGUCAGCAUGGCCCUUACGUCCCGGGCUACACACGUGCUACAAUGGGAAGGACAGCGAGUCGCGAACCCGCGAGGGCAAGCUAAUCUCUUAAACCUUUCCUCAGUUCGGAUUGGAGGCUGCAACUCGCCUCCAUGAAGUCGGAAUCGCUAGUAACCGCAGAUCAGCUACGCUGCGGUGAAUACGUUCCCGGGCCUUGCACACACCGCCCGU